Molecule: ribosomal RNA, 580 nt
Filed under: metal-contaminated soil clone K20-47
Lineage: Bacteria; Pseudomonadati; Pseudomonadota; Alphaproteobacteria
Description: bacterial SSU rRNA
Rfam family: Bacterial small subunit ribosomal RNA
Source: RNAcentral
CAUGCAAGUCGAGCGGGCGUACCAAUACGUCAGCGGCAGACGGGUGAGUAACGCGUGGGAACAUACCUUUUGGUUCGGAACAACACAGGGAAACUUGUGCUAAUACCGGAUAAGCCCUUACGGGGAAAGAUUUAUCGCCGAAAGAUUGGCCCGCGUCUGAUUAGCUAGUUGGUGAGGUAACGGCUCAUCAAGGCGACGAUCAGUAGCUGGUCUGAGAGGAUGAUCAGCCACAUUGGGACUGAGACACGGCCCAAACUCCUACGGGAGGCAGCAGUGGGGAAUAUUGGACAAUGGGCGCAAGCCUGAUCCAGCCAUGCCGCGUGAGUGAUGAAGGCCCUAGGGUUGUAAAGCUCUUUUGUGCGGGAAGAUAAUGACGGUACCGCAAGAAUAAGCCCCGGCUAACUUCGUGCCAGCAGCCGCGGUAAUACGAAGGGGGCUAGCGUUGCUCGGAAUCACUGGGCGUAAAGGGUGCGUAGGCGGGUCUUUAAGUCAGGGGUGAAAUCCUGGAGCUCAACUCCAGAACUGCCUUUGAUACUGAAGAUCUUGAGUUCGGGAGAGGUGAGUGGAACUGCGAGUGUAG